UGGGGAAUCUUCCGCAAUGGACGAAAGUCUGACGGAGCAACGCCGCGUGAGUGAAGAAGGUUUUCGGAUCGUAAAACUCUGUCUUUUGGGGCGAACGUGAGUAUGGUGAACAAUCAUAGUCAGUGACGGUACCAAAGGAGGAAGCCACGGCUAACUACGUGCCAGCAGCCGCGGUAAUACGUAGGUGGCAAGCGUUGUCCGGAAUUAUUGGGCGUAAAGAGCGCGUAGGCGGGAUAGUCAGUCUGUUGUAAAGUGCGGGGCUCAACCCCGUGAUGGCAAUGGAAACAGCUAUUCUUGAGUGCAGGAGAGGAAAGUGGAAUUCCCAGUGUAGCGGUGAAAUGCGUAGAUAUUGGGAGGAACACCAGUGGCGAAGGCGACUUUCUGGACUGUGUCUGACGCUGAGGCGCGAAAGCCAGGGGGAGCGAACGGGAUUAGAUACCCCGGUAGUCCUGGCCGUAAACGAUGGGUACUAGGUGUGGGGGGUAUCGACCCCUUCCGUGCCGGAGUUAACGCAAUAAGUA
This 521-nucleotide ribosomal RNA is filed under the name uncultured bacterium. Its description in RNAcentral is "partial 16S ribosomal RNA". It matches the Rfam family "Bacterial small subunit ribosomal RNA", at positions 355 to 866 of the family's 1533-position model. The record is from RNAcentral.